AAGAUUAAGCCAUGCAUGUCUAAGUAUAAGCAAUUUAUACAGUGAAACUGCGAAUGGCUCAUUAAAUCAGUUAUCGUUUAUUUGAUAGUUCCUUUACUACAUGGUAUAACUGUGGUAAUUCUAGAGCUAAUACAUGCACUGAAAUCCCGACUUCUGGAAGGGAUGUAUUUAUUAGAUAAAAACCAACCCGGGCAACCGGUUCUUUGGUGAUUCAUGAUAACUUUUCGAAUCGCAU
RNAcentral lists this ribosomal RNA (235 nucleotides) under uncultured fungus. RNAcentral's name for it is "partial 18S ribosomal RNA". It matches the Rfam family "Eukaryotic small subunit ribosomal RNA", at positions 40 to 274 of the family's 1831-position model. The record is from RNAcentral. Lineage: Eukaryota; Fungi.